Molecule: ribosomal RNA, 1001 nt
Filed under: uncultured bacterium
Lineage: Bacteria
Description: bacterial SSU rRNA
Rfam family: Bacterial small subunit ribosomal RNA
Source: RNAcentral
AGAGUUUGAUCAUGGCUCAGAGCGAACGCUGGCGGCGUGCUUAACACAUGCAAGUCGAACGCGCAGCAAUCUGUAGCAAUACAGGUUGUGGGCGCGUGGCGAACGGGUGCGUAACACGUGGAUAACCUUCCUUCAGGUGGGGAAUAACCCAGUGAAAAUUGGGCUAAUACCGCAUAACAUGACGAUGGCACAUGCUGUUGUCUUCAAAGCCGCAAGGCGCCAGAAGAGGGAUCCGCGGCCGAUUAGCUUGUUGGCGAGGUAAUGGCUCACCAAGGCAAUGAUCGGUAGCCGGACUGAGAGGUUGGCCGGCCACACUGGAACUGAGACACGGUCCAGACUCCUACGGGAGGCAGCAGUGGGGAAUCUUGCACAAUGGACGAAAGUCUGAUGCAGCAACGCCGCGUGGGGGAUGAAGCUUCUCGGAGUGUAAACCCCUUUCGACCCGGAAGAAUGUCCGCAAGGACUUGACGGUACGGGUAUAAGAAGCCCCGGCUAACUACGUGCCAGCAGCCGCGGUAAUACGUAGGGGGCCAGCGUUGCUCGGAAUUACUGGGCGUAAAGGGUCCGUAGGCGGUGUAGCAAGUCGAUAGUGAAAUUUCUGGGCUUAACCCAGAGGCUGCUAACGAAACUGCUAUGCUAGAGUGUGAGAGAGGCGAGUGGAAUUACGGGUGUAGCGGUGAAAUGCGUAGAUAUCCGUAGGAACAUCCGAGGCGAAGGCGGCUCGCUGGAUCACAACUGACGCUGAGGGACGAAAGCUAGGGGAGCAAACAGGAUUAGAUACCCUGGCAGUCCUAGCCCUAAACCAUCAGGACUUGGGGUUUGCCCUGUACGGGGCAAGUCCCGUAGCUAACGCGUUAAGUCCUGCGCCUGGGGAGUACGGUCGCAAGGCUGAAACUCAAAGGAAUUGACGGGGGCCCGCACAAGCGGUGGAACAUGUGGUUCAUUCGACGCACGCGAGACCUUACCUGGCUUGAACCGCACAGGACAUUCCUAGAAUAGGA